UACGAAGGGUGCUAGCGUUGUUCGGAAUCACUGGGCGUAAAGCGCGCGUAGGCGGCUUGACAAGUCAGAGGUGAAAUCCCAGAGCUUAACUCUGGAACUGCCUUUGAAACUGUCAAGCUGGAGUGUCGGAGGGGAUGGCGGAAUUGCUAAUGUAGAGGUGAAAUUCGUAGAUAUUAGCAGGAACACCAGUGGCGAAGGCGAGUCCCUGGAAAACACCUGACACUGAGGCACGAAAGCUAGGGGAGCAAACAGG
Molecule: ribosomal RNA, 253 nt
Filed under: uncultured bacterium
Lineage: Bacteria
Description: partial 16S ribosomal RNA
Rfam family: Bacterial small subunit ribosomal RNA
Source: RNAcentral